CACGUAGGGUGCGAGCGUUGUCCGGAAUUAUUGGGCGUAAAGAGCUCGUAGGCGGUGUGUCGCGUCGGCCGUGAAAACUUGCAGCUUAACUGUGGGCGUGCGGUCGAUACGGGCAUCACUGGAGUUCGGCAGGGGAGACUGGAAUUCCUGGUGUAGCGGUGAAAUGCGCAGAUAUCAGGAGGAACACCGGUGGCGAAGGCGGGUCUCUGGGCCGGAACUGACGCUGAGGAGCGAAAGCGUGGGUAGCAAACAGG
Molecule: ribosomal RNA, 254 nt
Filed under: uncultured bacterium
Lineage: Bacteria
Description: partial 16S ribosomal RNA
Rfam family: Bacterial small subunit ribosomal RNA
Source: RNAcentral